Molecule: long non-coding RNA, 217 nt
Filed under: Lathyrus oleraceus (garden pea)
Lineage: Eukaryota; Viridiplantae; Streptophyta; Magnoliopsida; Fabales; Fabaceae
Description: Pisum sativum (pea) long non-coding RNA (PSAT_LNC008865)
Source: RNAcentral
UUUUUUUUAUAUUGAACAAACUUCAAAUUGAUUAUUAAAGUUAAAAUGAAAUUAAAAUUAAUUUAUUUUAAUUAUGAUAAAUUAUUAUACUAUUUUAGAUUAGAUAUAUAUUUUAUGUAUAUACUAUGCAUAAAAUAUAAAUUAUGUUUUCCUUGUUAAAUGUUAUUAUAUUUUCUUUUAAAUAAAAAAAGUAUUUUUUUUUUGUUUUUUCUUAAUU